CCUACGGGAGGCAGCAGUGAGGAAUAUUGGUCAAUGGGCGCGAGCCUGAACCAGCCAAGUCGCGUGAGGGAGGACGGCCCUACGGGUUGUAAACCUCUUUUGCCGGGGAGCAACGGGCGUCACGUGUGGCGCCACUGAGAGUACCCGGAGAAAAAGCAUCGGCAAACUCCGUGCCAGCAGCCGCGGUAAUACGGAGGAUGCGAGCGUUAUCCGGAUUUAUUGGGUUUAAGGGGUGCGUAGGCGGAUCGUUAAGUAAGUGGUAAAAUUGAGGGGCUCAACCCCUUCCCGCCAUUGAAACUGGCGCUCUUGGGUGGCAGAGAAGUAUGCGGAAUGCGUGGUGUCGCGGUGAAAUGCAUAGAUAUCACGCAGAACCCCGAUUGCGAAGGCAGCAUGCCGGCUUCCGACUGACGCUGAGGCACGACAGCGUGGGGUUCGAACAGGAUUGGAUACCCGGGUGGU
RNAcentral lists this ribosomal RNA (459 nucleotides) under uncultured bacterium. RNAcentral describes it as "partial 16S ribosomal RNA". It matches the Rfam family "Bacterial small subunit ribosomal RNA", at positions 338 to 794 of the family's 1533-position model. The record is from RNAcentral.